UGAGGAAUAUUGGUCAAUGGGGGCAACCCUGAACCAGCCAUGCCGCGUGAAGGAUGAAGGCCCUAUGGGUUGUAAACUUCUUUUUUUAGGGACGAAACUGAGCUACGUGUAGCUUACUGACGGUACCUAAUGAAUAAGCAACGGCUAACUCCGUGCCAGCAGCCGCGGUAAUACGGAGGUUGCAAGCGUUAUCCGGAUUUAUUGGGUUUAAAGGGUGCGUAGGCGGGAUUAUAAGUCAGUGGUGAAAACCUGCAGCUUAACUGUAGAACUGCCAUUGAUACUGUAAUUCUUGAGUCUAGUUGAGGUGGGCGGAAUGUGUAAUGUAGCGGUGAAAUGCUUAGAUAUUACACAGAACACCAAUUGCGUAGGCAGCUCACUAAACUAUAACUGACGCUGAGGCACGAAAGCGUGGGGAGCAAACAGG
RNAcentral lists this ribosomal RNA (424 nucleotides) under uncultured bacterium. Its description in RNAcentral is "bacterial SSU rRNA". It matches the Rfam family "Bacterial small subunit ribosomal RNA", at positions 355 to 776 of the family's 1533-position model. The record is from RNAcentral.